UACGAAGGGGGCUAGCGUUGUUCGGAAUUACUGGGCGUAAAGGGCGCGUAGGCGGUGCUGUAAGUCAGGCGUGAAAUCCCCGGGCUCAACCUGGGAAUUGCGCAUGAUACUGCGGCGCUGGAAUGCGGGAGAGGAUGGCGGAAUUCCCAGUGUAGAGGUGAAAUUCGUAGAUAUUGGGAAGAACACCGGUGGCGAAGGCGGCCAUCUGGCCCGUGAUUGACGCUGAGGCGCGAAAGCGUGGGGAGCGAACCGG
RNAcentral lists this ribosomal RNA (253 nucleotides) under uncultured bacterium. RNAcentral's name for it is "partial 16S ribosomal RNA". It matches the Rfam family "Bacterial small subunit ribosomal RNA", at positions 524 to 776 of the family's 1533-position model. The record is from RNAcentral.